Molecule: ribosomal RNA, 253 nt
Filed under: uncultured bacterium
Lineage: Bacteria
Description: partial 16S ribosomal RNA
Rfam family: Bacterial small subunit ribosomal RNA
Source: RNAcentral
UACGUAGGGUGCGAGCGUUAAUCGGAAUUACUGGGCGUAAAGCGUGCGUAGACGGUUAUCUAAGUCGGAUGUGAAAGCCCCGGGCUCAACCUGGGAAUUGCAUUCGAGACUGAAUAGCUAGGGUGCGGCAGAGGGAAGCGGAAUUUCCGGUGUAGCGGUGAAAUGCGUAGAUAUCGGAAGGAACAUCAGUGGCGAAAGCGGCUUCCUGGACCAGCACCGACGUUCAGGCACGAAAGCGUGGGGAGCAAACAGG